GCUGAUUCCAGCUGGUUGGUAAAGCACACCCUUAGUAAGGUGAGGUCGGCAGUUCGAAUCUGCCUAUCAGCCU
Molecule: transfer RNA, 73 nt
Filed under: Providencia rettgeri
Lineage: Bacteria; Pseudomonadati; Pseudomonadota; Gammaproteobacteria; Enterobacterales; Morganellaceae
Description: tRNA-OTHER
Rfam family: tRNA
About the family: Transfer RNA (tRNA) molecules are approximately 80 nucleotides in length.
Source: RNAcentral